RNAcentral lists this ribosomal RNA (497 nucleotides) under uncultured bacterium. RNAcentral's name for it is "partial 16S ribosomal RNA". It matches the Rfam family "Bacterial small subunit ribosomal RNA", at positions 28 to 507 of the family's 1533-position model. The record is from RNAcentral.
GAUGAACGCUGGCGGCGUGCCUAAUACAUGCAAGUCGAGCGAACAGACGAGGAGCUUGCUCCUCUGACGUUAGCGGCGGACGGGUGAGUAACACGUGGAUAACCUACCUAUAAGACUGGGAUAACUUCGGGAAACCGGAGCUAAUACCGGAUAAUAUAUUGAACCGCAUGGUUCAAUAGUGAAAGACGGUUUUGCUGUCACUUAUAGAUGGAUCCGCGCCGCAUUAGCUAGUUGGUAAGGUAACGGCUUACCAAGGCAACGAUGCGUAGCCGACCUGAGAGGGUGAUCAGCCACACUGGAACUGAGACACGGUCCAGACUCCUACGGGAGGCAGCAGUGGGGAAUCUUCCGCAAUGGGCGAAAGCCUGACGGAGCAACGCCGCGUGAGUGAUGAAGGUCUUCGGAUCGUAAAGCUCUGUUAUUAGGGAAGAACAAAUGUGUAAGUAACUAUGCACGUCUUGACGGUACCUAAUCAGAAAGCCACGGCUAACUACGUG